RNAcentral lists this transfer RNA (77 nucleotides) under Deltaproteobacteria bacterium. RNAcentral describes it as "tRNA-Ile". It matches the Rfam family "tRNA". From Rfam's summary of the family: Transfer RNA (tRNA) molecules are approximately 80 nucleotides in length. Their secondary structure includes four short double-helical elements and three loops (D, anti-codon, and T loops). Lineage: Bacteria; Pseudomonadati; Myxococcota; Myxococcia. RNAcentral also lists the same sequence under 1 other name. The record is from RNAcentral.
GGGCCCUUAGCUCAGUUGGUCAGAGCAGCCGGCUCAUAACCGGAAGCGCCCAGGUUCGAGUCCUGGAGGGCCCACCA